UUUAAUUGUAAAUUUUUAAUCAAAGUAGUAUUAGUUAUGAUCUUGAAAUUUAAAAAUUUUGGCGGUAUUUUAGUCUAUUCAGAGGAACCUGUUCUGUAAUUGAUAUUCCACGAAUAAAUGUACUUUAAUUAUUAGUUUGUAUAUCGUCGUUAUUAAUUAUUUUAUAAGAAUAUUAAUAAUUAAGAUUUUAAAUUAAAAAAUAAAUCAGAUCAAGGUGCAGUUUAUAUUAAAGAAGAAAUGGGUUACAAUAAAUUUAUUUAUUAUGGAUUUGUUUAUUUAUGUAAAUGAUAAAAGUGGAUUUGAUAGUAAUAAAAUUUUUGUUAAUUUUAUGAUUUUAGCUCUAAAAUGUGU
RNAcentral lists this ribosomal RNA (351 nucleotides) under Bidessonotus inconspicuus. RNAcentral's name for it is "partial 12S ribosomal RNA". Lineage: Eukaryota; Metazoa; Arthropoda; Insecta; Coleoptera; Dytiscidae. The record is from RNAcentral.